Molecule: non-coding RNA, 415 nt
Filed under: Pongo abelii (Sumatran orangutan)
Lineage: Eukaryota; Metazoa; Chordata; Mammalia; Primates; Hominidae
Source: RNAcentral
AUGCUGCUUACUUCUCCAGCUUUUGAAGCACAGGUUUUAUGUUUGUUUGUUUGGGAUAGAAUCUCACUCUGUCACCCAGGCCAGAGAGCACUGACAUUGUCAUGGCUCCCUGCACUCUCAAACUCCCAAGCUCAAGCAAUCCUCCCACCUCAGCCUCCCAAGUAGCUGGGACUACAGAUUCUCCUGUUUGCUUCCUAAGACAGAAGAUAAAUGGGAGGAAAAGGAUCAAAUGUGAAAAUUCUGAUGGGCUGCUCCAUUGGGAAGUCAAGACUGUAUCUUAAGUGCUGUAUUCCACUCGAUGCUCCAUUUUCCUGCUUGCUGCAGUAACUGUGGUUUCAUACAGAGUACUAGAACUACCAGGGGCAAACCAGAGACAACAGCAUCUACCUCGUAGUAAUAUUUUAGAGAUUAAAUG